AAUGAACGUUUGCGGCGUGCCUGAUGCAUGCAAGUCGUACGAUUCAACAAUUCGCAAGAGUUAUUGGAUAGUGGCGGACGGCUGAGUAACACGUAAGUUACCUACCUCUAAGUGGGGGAUAACCUGCCGAAAGGCAAGCUAAUACCGCAUGUGAAGUAUUUUUAAAGCCUUCGGGCGCUUGGAGAUGGGCUUGCGUCUGAUUAGCUAGUUGGUAGGGUAAUGGCCUACCAAGGCGAUGAUCAGUAGCUGGUCUGAGAGGACGACCAGCCAGACAGGGACUGCGACACGGCCCUGACUCCUACGGGAGGCUG
This 311-nucleotide ribosomal RNA is filed under the name uncultured Chloroflexota bacterium. Its description in RNAcentral is "bacterial SSU rRNA". It matches the Rfam family "Bacterial small subunit ribosomal RNA", at positions 29 to 351 of the family's 1533-position model. The record is from RNAcentral. Lineage: Bacteria; Bacillati; Chloroflexota.